This 500-nucleotide ribosomal RNA is filed under the name uncultured bacterium. Its description in RNAcentral is "partial 16S ribosomal RNA". It matches the Rfam family "Bacterial small subunit ribosomal RNA", at positions 30 to 523 of the family's 1533-position model. The record is from RNAcentral.
AUUGAACGCUGGCGGAAUGCUUUACACAUGCAAGUCGAACGGCAGCACGGACUUCGGUCUGGUGGCGAGUGGCGAACGGGUGAGUAAUGUAUCGGAACGUGCCCAGUCGUGGGGGAUAACGUAGUGAAAAUUACGCUAAUACCGCAUACGAUCUAUGGAUGAAAGCGGGGGAUCGCAAGACCUCGCGCGUUUGGAGCGGCCGAUAGCAGAUUAGGUAGUUGGUGGGGUAAAGGCCCACCAAGCCAACGAUCUAUAGCUGGUCUGAGAGGACGACCAGCCACACUGGAACUGAGACACGGUCCAGACUCCUACGGGAGGCAGCAGUGGGGAAUUUUGGACAAUGGGCGAAAGCCUGAUCCAGCCAUUCCGCGUGCAGGAUGAAGGCCCUCGGGUUGUAAACUGCUUUUGUACAGAACGAAAAGGUUUCUACUAAUACUAGGAGCUCAUGACGGUACUGUAAGAAUAAGCACCGGCUAACUACGUGCCAGCCGCCGCGGUAA